This 492-nucleotide ribosomal RNA is filed under the name uncultured bacterium. Its description in RNAcentral is "partial 16S ribosomal RNA". It matches the Rfam family "Bacterial small subunit ribosomal RNA", at positions 29 to 507 of the family's 1533-position model. The record is from RNAcentral.
AGUGAACGCUGGCGGUAGGCCUAACACAUGCAAGUCGAACGGCAGCACAGUAGGAGCUUGCUCUUACGGGUGGCGAGUGGCGGACGGGUGAGGAAUACAUCGGAAUCUACUUUUUCGUGGGGGAUAACGUAGGGAAACUUACGCUAAUACCGCAUACGACCUACGGGUGAAAGCAGGGGAUCUUCGGACCUUGCGCGAUUGAAUGAGCCGAUGUCGGAUUAGCUAGUUGGCGGGGUAAAGGCCCACCAAGGCGACGAUCCGUAGCUGGUCUGAGAGGAUGAUCAGCCACCCUGGAACUGAGACACGGUCCAGACUCCUACGGGAGGCAGCAGUGGGGAAUAUUGGACAAUGGGCGCAAGCCUGAUCCAGCCAUACCGCGUGGGUGAAGAAGGCCUUCGGGUUGUAAAGCCCUUUUGUUGGGAAAGAAAAGCAGCAGGUUAAUACCCCGCUGUUCUGACGGUACCCAAAGAAUAAGCACCGGCUAACUUCGUG